RNAcentral lists this ribosomal RNA (497 nucleotides) under uncultured bacterium. RNAcentral's name for it is "partial 16S ribosomal RNA". It matches the Rfam family "Bacterial small subunit ribosomal RNA", at positions 28 to 507 of the family's 1533-position model. The record is from RNAcentral.
GAUGAACGCUGGCGGCGUGCCUAAUACAUGCCAGUCGAGCGAACGGACGAGAAGCUUGCUUCUCUGAUGUUAGAGGCGGACGGGUGAGUAAAACGUGGAUAACCUACCUAUAGGACUGGGAUAAAUUCGGGAAACCGUAGCUAAUACCGGAUAAUAUUUUGAACCGCAUGGUUCAAAAGUGAAAGACGGUCUUGCUGUCACUAAUAGAUGGAUCAGCGCUGCAUUAGCUAGUUGGUAAGGUAACGGCUUACCAAGGCAACGAUGCAUAGCAGACCCGAGAGGGUGAUCGGCCACACUGGAACUGAGACACGGUCCAGACUCCUACGGGAGGCAGCAGUAGGGAAUCUUCCGCAAUGGGCGAAAGCCUGACGUAGCAACGCCGCGUGAGUGAUGAAGGUCUUCGGAUCGUAAAACUCUGUUAGUAGGGAAGAACAUAUGUGUAAGUAACUGUGCACAUCUUGACGGUACCUAAUCAGAAAGCCACGGCUAACUACGUG